This 492-nucleotide ribosomal RNA is filed under the name uncultured bacterium. Its description in RNAcentral is "partial 16S ribosomal RNA". It matches the Rfam family "Bacterial small subunit ribosomal RNA", at positions 29 to 507 of the family's 1533-position model. The record is from RNAcentral.
AGUGAACGCUGGCGGUAGGCCUAACACAUGCAAGUCGAACGGCAGCACAGUAAGAGCUUGCUCUUACGGGUGGCGAGUGGCGGACGGGUGAGGAAUACAUCGGAAUCUACUUUUUCGUGGGGGAUAACGUAGGGAAACUUACGCUAAUACCGCAUACGACCUACGGGUGAAAGCAGGGGAUCUUCGGACCUUGCGCGAUUGAAUGAGCCGAUGUCGGAUUAGCUAGUUGGCGGGGUAAGGGCCCACCAAGGCGACGAUCCGUAGCUGGUCUGAGAGGAUGAUCAGCCACACUGGAACUGAGACACGGUCCAGACUCCUACGGGAGGCAGCAGUGGGGAAUAUUGGACAAUGGGCGCAAGCCUGAUCCAGCCAUACCGCGUGGGUGAAGAAGGCCUUCGGGUUGUAAAGCCCUUUUGUUGGGAAAGAAAAGCAGCAGGUUAAUACCCCGCUGUUCUGACGGUACCCAAAGAAUAAGCACCCGCUAACUUCGUG